CGCCGAGCCUCGGGCGCGCGUGGCGCCGCCUCCCAGACGCCUAACGACGAUGAGCCAAGACGCGGGGGUCGCGGAGAGCAGUGAUGAUCACAAUGCCUCUUCAGAAGAAAAAGAUUGCCCCAGCUCCAACCUAGAUACUUCAGGGGACUCUAAAUCAGGUAAGAGAUAUGAUUAACAUUGGUAAAUGUCCAAAUGAAAUUUUUAUGAAAUAACCAAUUCAUCACAAGAUAAAUAACAAUUUAUUCUUCUGUUUUACUUCAAGCAAUCUUCAUGAAAGAUAGGAGCUUUCAUCUUUCUACUUGAAAGAACUGAUUAAGUUUUAAACUUUCAUGGUUACCUAGCCUAGUGAAAUCAGUAACUUAAACUUCAGUGAUGAAGCUGUACUUAAUGAAACUGAGAAUUUAUCUGAUGAGGCAACUGGACCAUUUUCUAGAUUGGUUUCGCUAACCUAAUACAGGGUCCUGUACGAGUCCAGCCAGGUGGUGGAUACUUGGCUGGGGUAGUCCUGGGAGAUUUUCCUGAGGAGGUGAUGGUUGACUUGAACUCUGAAGGAUGCAUUGCAGUAACAGGGCAAAGGUGGGGACAAGGGUUAUAUACUUGCAGGUGUAAAUGUCCCCAUGUGGGGAAGUGCACAGUGCUUGUUUGCAGAGACUGAAGAAGGUCAGAUGACUGGAAUCAGCGAGGAGAGAGGUGGCAGGGCCAAAGUGCGUCUGUAGAGCAGGUGGGGCUAGAUUGCAUAGGACCUUUGGAUUACAAAAUCUUUACUCCAGAGUGGAUGUACAAAUGACCAAUAAGUACUUGAAAGAUGCUCAGUAUUAUUUCAGGGAAAUACAAUUCAAACCCACAGAAAGAUGCCACUUCCCAGCCACUGGGGUGACAUGAAAAAGAUAAUAGCAAGAAUUGUCAAGGAUGCGGAGAAAUUGGAAGCCUCAUACACUGCUGAUAGAG
Non-coding RNA from Odocoileus virginianus texanus, 948 nucleotides. The record is from RefSeq and is a predicted model, not a curated record. Lineage: Eukaryota; Metazoa; Chordata; Mammalia; Artiodactyla; Cervidae.